GCAUAUGGAGGUUCCCAGGCUAGGGGUUGAAUCGGAGCUGUAGCCACCGGCCUACACCACAGCCACAGCAACGCCGGAUCGUUAACCCACUGAGCAAGGGCAGGGAUCGAACCCGCAACCUCAUGGUUCCUAGUUGGAUUCGUUAACCACUGCGCCACGACGGGAACUCCCUGAAUCCACCUUUGUUGUGAGGAUAGAAUGAAUUAACACAAGUAAAGGACCUGACGGAGGACCCUACCACGGUACCU
This 248-nucleotide long non-coding RNA is filed under the name Sus scrofa (pig). RNAcentral's name for it is "lncRNA (ENSSSCG00030049977.1)". The record is from RNAcentral. Lineage: Eukaryota; Metazoa; Chordata; Mammalia; Artiodactyla; Suidae.